Long non-coding RNA from Ailuropoda melanoleuca (giant panda), 355 nucleotides. RefSeq lists it as uncharacterized. NCBI's taxonomy places the organism in Eukaryota, Metazoa, Chordata, Mammalia, Carnivora, Ursidae. The record is from RefSeq and is a predicted model, not a curated record. The transcript is spliced from 3 exons.
CCCUGCGUGACCCCCCUGGUGCCCUCCAGCACCCACAGGCCUCUUCUGGGAAGCAGUCUCCCACCUUCUCCCGGAACAUUCCAGAGAGCAGUUGACUCCCUCUUGAUCAGGUCUAUGCCCUUUAAAAACAUCAUCUUGGGAAUUUCCUUAAGCUUUAAUCUAAGCCUCCUGCCACUGGCACUGUUUCUCAUUUCAUGUGCUUCCUGGCUACAGCUGCUCAUUCCUAGGAUGGGAGUGAGAGCCUUUGAAACUACGCGUGCUCCUCCAGGAAGCUUAAUUCCAUUGUGGUACAAGAAUGCACUUUGAUACAAAAUCAAUGCCCAGAAAUCAGUUGCAUUUCUAUACACGAAUAAUG